GACGAACGUUGGCGGCGUGCCUAAUACAUGCAAGUCAACUGAAAUACCGGUAGCAAUACUGGUAUGGAGGUGGCGCACGGGUGAGUAACACGUAGGUAAUCUGCCUUCAGGUCUGACAUAACCCAUCGAAAGGUGAGCUAAUAUCAGAUGAUGCAGCGGCUUGACAUCAAGACAGUUGUUAAAGCUUCGGCGCCUGAAGAUGAGCCNGCGUCUGAUUAGCUAGUUGGCGGGUACGGACCCGA
This 242-nucleotide ribosomal RNA is filed under the name uncultured bacterium. Its description in RNAcentral is "partial 16S ribosomal RNA". It matches the Rfam family "Bacterial small subunit ribosomal RNA", at positions 28 to 268 of the family's 1533-position model. The record is from RNAcentral.